GCGGUCGUAGCUCAGUUGGUUAGAGCGUUGGAUUGUGAUUCCAAAAGUCGCGGGUUCAAGUCCCGUCGAUCGCC
Molecule: transfer RNA, 74 nt
Filed under: Parachlamydiaceae bacterium
Lineage: Bacteria; Pseudomonadati; Chlamydiota; Chlamydiia; Parachlamydiales; Parachlamydiaceae
Description: tRNA-His
Rfam family: tRNA
About the family: Transfer RNA (tRNA) molecules are approximately 80 nucleotides in length. Their secondary structure includes four short double-helical elements and three loops (D, anti-codon, and T loops). Further hydrogen bonds mediate the characteristic L-shaped molecular structure. tRNAs have two regions of fundamental functional importance: the anti-codon, which is responsible for specific mRNA codon recognition, and the 3' end, to which the tRNAs corresponding amino acid is attached (by aminoacyl-tRNA synthetases). tRNAs cope with the degeneracy of the genetic code in two manners: having more than one tRNA (with a specific anti-codon) for a particular amino acid; and 'wobble' base-pairing, i.e. permitting non-standard base-pairing at the 3rd anti-codon position.
Source: RNAcentral